CCUACGGGGGGCAGCAGUGAGGAAUAUUGGUCAAUGGACGCAAGUCUGAACCAGCCAUGCCGCGUGCAGGAAGACGGCUCUAUGAGUUGUAAACUGCUUUUGUACGAGGGUAAACGCAGAUACGCGUAUCUGUCUGAAAGUAUCGUACGAAUAAGGAUCGGCUAACUCCGUGCCAGCAGCCGCGGUAAUACGGAGGAUUCAAGCGUUAUCCGGAUUUAUUGGGUUUAAAGGGUGCGUAGGCGGUCGGAUAAGUUAGAGGUGAAUUCCCGAGGCUCAACUUCGGAAUUGCCUCUGAUACUGUUCGGCUAGAGAGUAGUUGCGGUAGGCGGAAUGUAUGGUGUAGCGGUGAAAUGCUUAGAGAUCAUACAGAACACCGAUUGCGAAGGCAGCUUACCAAGCUACUUCUGACGUUGAGGCACGAAAGCGUGGGGAGCGAACAGGAUUAGAUACCCCAGUAGUC
This 460-nucleotide ribosomal RNA is filed under the name uncultured bacterium. RNAcentral's name for it is "partial 16S ribosomal RNA". It matches the Rfam family "Bacterial small subunit ribosomal RNA", at positions 338 to 795 of the family's 1533-position model. The record is from RNAcentral.